Molecule: ribosomal RNA, 450 nt
Filed under: uncultured bacterium
Lineage: Bacteria
Description: partial 16S ribosomal RNA
Rfam family: Bacterial small subunit ribosomal RNA
Source: RNAcentral
GUGGGGAAUAUUCCGCAAUGGACGAAAGUCUGACGGAGCAACGCCGCGUGAGUGAUGAAGGUUUUCGGACUGUAAAGCUCUGUUGUUUAGGACGAAAGUGCCUGUUGCGAACAGUUACAGGUAUUGACGGUACUAAACGAGGAAGCCACGGCUAACUACGUGCCAGCAGCCGCGGUAAUACGUAGGUGGCAAGCGUUGUCCGGAAUUAUUGGGCGUAAAGAGCAUGUAGGCGGAGAUUUAAGUCUGUUGUGAAAAUGCGGGGCUCAACCCCGUAUUGCGAUGGAAACUGAAUUUCUUGAGUGCAGGAGAGGAAAGGGGAAUUCCCAGUGUAGCGGUGAAAUGCGUAGAUAUUGGGAGGAACACCAGUGGCGAAGGCGCCUUUCUGGACUGUGUCUGACGCUGAGAUGCGAAAGCCAGGGUAGCGAACGGGAUUAGAAACCCUGGUAGUCC